AUGCCGGCAACAGCACCUCUGCUGAGUGGGAAGUUCCUCAUGUUGGUCACCAAAACGGCCGUCCCCAACCACGCGCCACUGUUUGCAGCAAGGCACAAUGCCAACCAUACCUGUAAUAAAAUACAGGAGAAAGGCCACUAG
This 141-nucleotide ribosomal RNA is filed under the name Triticum aestivum (bread wheat). RNAcentral describes it as "partial small subunit ribosomal RNA". The record is from RNAcentral. Lineage: Eukaryota; Viridiplantae; Streptophyta; Magnoliopsida; Poales; Poaceae.